This 314-nucleotide ribosomal RNA is filed under the name uncultured bacterium. RNAcentral's name for it is "bacterial SSU rRNA". It matches the Rfam family "Bacterial small subunit ribosomal RNA", at positions 8 to 322 of the family's 1533-position model. The record is from RNAcentral.
AGAGUUUGAUCAUGGCUCAGAUUGAACGCUGGCGGCAUGCUUUACACAUGCAAGUCGAGCGGCAGCGCGGGGGCAACUCUGGCGGCGAGCGGCGGACGGGUGAGUAAUGCAUCGGAACGUAUCCCGUAGUGGGGGACAACCCAGCGAAAGCUGGGCUAAUACCGCAUAUGCUCUACGGAGGAAAGUGGGGGACCUGUAAGGGCCUCACGCUAUGGGAGCGGCCGAUGUCCGAUUAGCUAGUUGGUGGGGUAAAGGCUCACCAAGGCGACGAUCGGUAGCUGGUCUGAGAGGAUGAUCAGCCACACUGGGACUGA